CAGCCGUGAAAUCUAGAGGAAAUAGAACACUUGCUGCAAUUGGCCUGGAUCUGGCUACUCCAAAACAUAGAAUCCCCAUCAGAUAGUAGCUGGCUGCAGUUAAAAGUAAUACAAAUAUUUUUAAUUUGUACGACGUUUGUAAUUAAAUUUUAAGUAUAAAAUUUCAAGUAUAAAAAUUACAGGAACAUGGGGAGAUAAGGAGAUUAUAGGAAAAGCCUGCACAGAGCAUAAGGGAUCAUGAGUGUCUGUAUGUAUACAAAUCUAAAGAAUGUGUAAGGACCUUGGUUCUCUAGAACUAGGAAAUGCUCAGAAAGAAUCUGAAUCCCAGGAAGAGUGCAUGUAGAACCUAGGAACAUUCAUGAAAGCCUACAUAGAAGCUACUGUGAGCUGAAGGUUUUGAACUACUGGAGUCUCCAUCUUCUAUACACAUGGACGUUUCUUCACCAAUACCAUGAUAUAAAGACGCGGAUGAACAAGGACAACGUUAGUCUGUCAUGGCCGCCUAAGAUCAUAUGAUAUUGUUAACGACGAAAGGACGCUGCACGGAAGAAUGAUUGUAAGAAGAAACCGGCGAUCCUUAAAUAAGGAUAAGUGUAAAGAGAUAAGUCUCUCAUUAGUUGCUCCUCAGUCUUGGUAAAAUACAGGGAGAACCAGAGAGAUCUUAGGAAGACUUCAGGCGAAUUUAUUUUUGUAUAUAAUCUCUCUGUGUAUAAAUACUUUAAUAUUGGCCAUACAGUCUAUGCAUUUUCAGUACUAAAUGUUGGCAGCAUACAUAUUUGUGACAUUUUGUUAAUUUUCGAAAAAUGAAUUAAAAAUAUUACUCUGGAGUUUAUUUCCAUUCCUGUAUAUAGAGCGAAUGAUAAAUAACGAAUUAGACCAGUAAGACAUUUUUCUCCUACACUUUCCCUUUUGCACGCGACGAUAUAUUUUGAAGAUGCACGCAGAAAACUUGUUUGAAAAUGGGCGCGCGGUGGAAAUCUUCUAUAAUCACAAAAAGAGGAAGUGGAAUUACUGGACCCACAUUUACUUAGCAAACGUUAUUUAUUCUGAAAGCUCCGAAUUUUGUAAUGACAACUUUCGUUGCAUUUUAUCAAAUUUGGCGGGAUUUAUUUUUGAAAUGCAACACUACUAUUUCGCCACGAAAUAUAAGAAACAAAUCGAAAGGAGGAUAAAGGAAAAAGUUCUCAAUAUUUUUUAAUUUAUUAAUAUAGAUAAUAAAAAUAAUUAAAUUAAUAAAAAAAAAU
This is a long non-coding RNA of Megachile rotundata (alfalfa leafcutting bee), 1244 nucleotides long. The record is from RefSeq and is a predicted model, not a curated record. NCBI's taxonomy places the organism in Eukaryota, Metazoa, Arthropoda, Insecta, Hymenoptera, Megachilidae.